This 1984-nucleotide ribosomal RNA is filed under the name Escherichia coli. Its description in RNAcentral is "partial 23S ribosomal RNA". It matches the Rfam family "Bacterial large subunit ribosomal RNA", at positions 397 to 2368 of the family's 2925-position model. The record is from RNAcentral. Lineage: Bacteria; Pseudomonadati; Pseudomonadota; Gammaproteobacteria; Enterobacterales; Enterobacteriaceae.
CUGUGAGCUCGAUGAGUAGGGCGGGACACGUGGUAUCCUGUCUGAAUAUGGGGGGACCAUCCUCCAAGGCUAAAUACUCCUGACUGACCGAUAGUGAACCAGUACCGUGAGGGAAAGGCGAAAAGAACCCCGGCGAGGGGAGUGAAAAAGAACCUGAAACCGUGUACGUACAAGCAGUGGGAGCCUCUUUAUGGGGUGACUGCGUACCUUUUGUAUAAUGGGUCAGCGACUUAUAUUCUGUAGCAAGGUUAACCGAAUAGGGGAGCCGAAGGGAAACCGAGUCUUAACUGGGCGUUAAGUUGCAGGGUAUAGACCCGAAACCCGGUGAUCUAGCCAUGGGCAGGUUGAAGGUUGGGUAACACUAACUGGAGGACCGAACCGACUAAUGUUGAAAAAUUAGCGGAUGACUUGUGGCUGGGGGUGAAAGGCCAAUCAAACCGGGAGAUAGCUGGUUCUCCCCGAAAGCUAUUUAGGUAGCGCCUCGUGAAUUCAUCUCCGGGGGUAGAGCACUGUUUCGGCAAGGGGGUCAUCCCGACUUACCAACCCGAUGCAAACUGCGAAUACCGGAGAAUGUUAUCACGGGAGACACACGGCGGGUGCUAACGUCCGUCGUGAAGAGGGAAACAACCCAGACCGCCAGCUAAGGUCCCAAAGUCAUGGUUAAGUGGGAAACGAUGUGGGAAGGCCCAGACAGCCAGGAUGUUGGCUUAGAAGCAGCCAUCAUUUAAAGAAAGCGUAAUAGCUCACUGGUCGAGUCGGCCUGCGCGGAAGAUGUAACGGGGCUAAACCAUGCACCGAAGCUGCGGCAGCGACACUAUGUGUUGUUGGGUAGGGGAGCGUUCUGUAAGCCUGCGAAGGUGUACUGUGAGGUAUGCUGGAGGUAUCAGAAGUGCGAAUGCUGACAUAAGUAACGAUAAAGCGGGUGAAAAGCCCGCUCGCCGGAAGACCAAGGGUUCCUGUCCAACGUUAAUCGGGGCAGGGUGAGUCGACCCCUAAGGCGAGGCCGAAAGGCGUAGUCGAUGGGAAACAGGUUAAUAUUCCUGUACUUGGUGUUACUGCGAAGGGGGGACGGAGAAGGCUAUGUUGGCCGGGCGACGGUUGUCCCGGUUUAAGCGUGUAGGCUGGUUUUCCAGGCAAAUCCGGAAAAUCAAGGCUGAGGCGUGAUGACGAGGCACUACGGUGCUGAAGCAACAAAUGCCCUGCUUCCAGGAAAAGCCUCUAAGCAUCAGGUAACAUCAAAUCGUACCCCAAACCGACACAGGUGGUCAGGUAGAGAAUACCAAGGCGCUUGAGAGAACUCGGGUGAAGGAACUAGGCAAAAUGGUGCCGUAACUUCGGGAGAAGGCACGCUGAUAUGUAGGUGAAGUCCCUCGCGGAUGGAGCUGAAAUCAGUCGAAGAUACCAGCUGGCUGCAACUGUUUAUUAAAAACACAGCACUGUGCAAACACGAAAGUGGACGUAUACGGUGUGACGCCUGCCCGGUGCCGGAAGGUUAAUUGAUGGGGUUAGCGAACGCGAAGCUCUUGAUCGAAGCCCCGGUAAACGGCGGCCGUAACUAUAACGGUCCUAAGGUAGCGAAAUUCCUUGUCGGGUAAGUUCCGACCUGCACGAAUGGCGUAAUGAUGGCCAGGCUGUCUCCACCCGAGACUCAGUGAAAUUGAACUCGCUGUGAAGAUGCAGUGUACCCGCGGCAAGACGGAAAGACCCCGUGAACCUUUACUAUAGCUUGACACUGAACAUUGAGCCUUGAUGUGUAGGAUAGGUGGGAGGCUUUGAAGUGUGGACGCCAGUCUGCAUGGAGCCGACCUUGAAAUACCACCCUUUAAUGUUUGAUGUUCUAACGUUGGCCCCUAAUCGGGGUUGCGGACAGUGUCUGGUGGGUAGUUUGACUGGGGCGGUCUCCUCCUAAAGAGUAACGGAGGAGCACGAAGGUUGGCUAAUCCUGGUCGGACAUCAGGAGGUUAGUGCAAUGGCAUAAGCCAGC